GGCUUAGAGUUUGAUCCUGGCUCAGAUUGAACGCUGGCGGCAUGCCUUACACAUGCAAGUCGAACGGCAGCACGGAGCUUGCUCUGGUGGCGAGUGGCGAACGGGUGAGUAAUAUAUCGGAACGUACCCUGGAGUGGGGGAUAACGUAGCGAAAGUUACGCUAAUACCGCAUACGAUCUACGGAUGAAAGUGGGGGAUCGCAAGACCUCAUGCUCGUGGAGCGGCCGAUAUCUGAUUAGCUAGUUGGUAGGGUAAAAGCCUACCAAGGCAUCGAUCAGUAGCUGGUCUGAGAGGACGACCAGCCACACUGGAACUGAGAUACGGUCCAGACUCCUACGGGAGGCAGCAGUGGGGAAUUUUGGACAAUGGGCGAAAGCCUGAUCCAGCAAUGCCGCGUGAGUGAAGAAGGCUUUCGGGUUGUAAAGCUCUUUUGUCAGGGAAGAANCGGUGAGAGCUAAUAGU
This 462-nucleotide ribosomal RNA is filed under the name uncultured bacterium. RNAcentral describes it as "SSU rRNA". It matches the Rfam family "Bacterial small subunit ribosomal RNA", at positions 1 to 465 of the family's 1533-position model. The record is from RNAcentral.